CUACGGGUGGCUCCAGUAGGGAAUAUUGCACCAUGGGCGAAAGCCUGAUGCAGCAACGCCGCGUGAGCGAUGAAGGCCCUCGGGUCGUAAAGCUCUUUUCAAGGGGAAGAGGAAGGACGGUACCCUUGGAAUAAGUCUCGGCUAACUACGUGCCAGCAGCCGCGGUAAAACGUAGGAGGCGAGCGUUAUCCGGAUUUACUGGGCGUAAAGCGCGUGUAGGCGGUACAGCAAGUUGGAUGUGAAAGCUCCUGGCUUAACUGGGAGAGGUCGUUCAAAACUGCUGAACUAGAGUACGGUAGAGGAAAAUGGAAUUCCGGGUGUAGUGGUGAAAUGCGUAGAUAUCCGGAGGAACACCAGAGGCGAAAGCGAUUUUCUGGACCGAAACUGAUGCUCAGACGCGAAAGCUAGGGUAGCAAACGGGAUUAGAUACCCCGGUAGUC
This 440-nucleotide ribosomal RNA is filed under the name uncultured bacterium. Its description in RNAcentral is "partial 16S ribosomal RNA". It matches the Rfam family "Bacterial small subunit ribosomal RNA", at positions 339 to 795 of the family's 1533-position model. The record is from RNAcentral.